RNAcentral lists this microRNA precursor (83 nucleotides) under Salmo salar (Atlantic salmon). RNAcentral describes it as "mir-218 microRNA precursor family". It matches the Rfam family "mir-218 microRNA precursor family". Rfam says of the family: The extents of the hairpin precursors are not known. In this case the mature sequence in excised from the 5'arm of the hairpin. Lineage: Eukaryota; Metazoa; Chordata; Actinopteri; Salmoniformes; Salmonidae. The record is from Rfam by way of RNAcentral. RNAcentral also lists the same sequence under 3 other names.
CAGCUGUCUCUUGUGCUUGAUCUAACCAUGUGCCCCCGCCUACACUCGCCUCACAUGGUUCCGUCAAGCACCAGGGACCGCUG